CUCGCAUGCGCCAAAAUAGGGUAGGGCAGGUAAUUUUGACGCAGCUACUGCACACGUGCCCCCUAAGGAUCCCAUACCACCUUCCAUGGGUAAGCCAGCUUCCAGCUGUUUCGGCCUCAUUUCCGGAGCGGCCAAGUCACCAGAAGUGACGGGGGUAUGGUUCUAACAGGGUAGAACGGCAUUUGUGCAGCAUCAGAGCAUUGUUGUGGUAACCCUGACAGGCCAGGCUUACGAGAGUUGGAGGACCCUGCAAAAGGACAGACAAAGUCUCCUAUGCUCCACCUCUUGCAAAGGCCCAGUAAGAGAGAUCUUUGAUCUUACCUUCUUUAUCUGGCAAGAUCACGGCUAUAUGUGUAUGUAUUUAUGAGUAUGUUUUUGAACCUUUGGCCAAAUUUGUGCACUUUUUCAGAAAAUUUCUAAUGUCUCGAUUACCUACCUGUUUAAAAGAUAUGCAAGAUUAUUUUGUGCUGUAUUAUGGGUUUGAAAAUUUUGGACAAUGUAGCAUUAGCUACUCUGGAUGUACAAAUCUAUACACAAUCAGCCUAUAUGAAAUGGGCUUAAAAUCAAUGUCCACCAUCUUACCACGUUUAGAGAAUGAUAAAGGUCCUUCCAUUCAAUUCCUGUUCGUAUUGGAUCUUGUU
Pelobates cultripes (western spadefoot toad) is the source of this 641-nucleotide non-coding RNA. NCBI's taxonomy places the organism in Eukaryota, Metazoa, Chordata, Amphibia, Anura, Pelobatidae. The record is from the annotation of a GenBank genome assembly.